UCAAGAACUUGAUUUGUUUUACGAUUUUGGCGAAGAUGGUUGUGUUUGCCUUUGUGUGGGAAAGAUGGCCGUGGUUUUUGUCACCCUAUGCAGAGUUUGCACACAGAAACAAAAUUUUGCCAAAUGCUUUUAUUUGCGAACCGAAUUGCCUGCAAAUGGAAACAUUCAUGAACCAAGGUAUUUCGGUAGUUGAGGGUGAAGAUCAGUGUAUAGUUUUAAAGGCUUCUCAGAUGAUUCUUCUAACAUUUCUACAACUUCCUCCAGGAGAACAGAUUCAAAAUCUGCAGCCCCAAGCUACCACAAAUUCAUACCAGUUGUAUUACUUGGGAACCUGUGGAUACAAAGGGCUGACUGUAUAUAAUAUGAAUUAAAUAGGAUCAGCAUGAUAUCAGACUUCAUUUAAAGUUACUACCUCCAGUUAUGGACCCAAAACCGAUGAAGCUGAAACAUCCCAGGACACCACAGCAAUCACACGGGAUGGCCAGGAUGUCUUCAGUUACCCAGAGAAACAUCUGUCAGACACCGCGUGACCUUCUAGCUGGAGAAACUGUAAAGUUUUAACAUGAGAAUGGUAUCUCCCUUCUAAUGAUAGCAUAGGUUUCCUAAUUGGGUUGUACCCAAAAGUAGGGCCUCAACCUGAUUUAGUGAGGUGAGCUAGUUAACAUUCUAAGUUAACGGGAAGCCUCAUAACUUCUUAAACAAUAAAGUCACCCUGGAAUGAUAUUUUAGACAUCAUCAUCUUAAGGGAAUUUCUCCAAAAAUAUGAAUUCUUGUGUGUUUAAAAAGAAA
Heterocephalus glaber (naked mole-rat) is the source of this 789-nucleotide long non-coding RNA. The record is from Ensembl. Lineage: Eukaryota; Metazoa; Chordata; Mammalia; Rodentia; Bathyergidae.